AAUCUUCCGCAAUGGACGAAAGUCCGACGGAGCAACGCCACGUGUACGACGAAGGCCUUCGGGUUGUAAAGUACUGUCUUCAGGGACGAACGGUAAGUAUGUAAAUAAUGUACUUACAUGACGGUACCUGAGGAGGAAGCCCCGGCUAACUACGUGCCAGCAGCCGCGGUAAUACGUAGGGGGCAAGCGUUGUCCGGAAUCAUUGGGCGUAAAGGGCGCGUAGGCGGAUACUUAAGUCUGGUGUGAAAACCUAGGGCUCAACCCUGGGACUGCAUCGGAAACUGGGUAUCUUGAGGACAGGAGAGGAAAGUGGAAUUCCACGUGUAGCGGUGAAACGCGUAGAUAUGUGGAGGAACACCAGUGGCGAAGACGACUUUCUGGACUGUAACUGACGCUGAGGCGCGAAAGCGUGGGGAGCAAACAGG
This 425-nucleotide ribosomal RNA is filed under the name uncultured bacterium. RNAcentral describes it as "partial 16S ribosomal RNA". It matches the Rfam family "Bacterial small subunit ribosomal RNA", at positions 360 to 776 of the family's 1533-position model. The record is from RNAcentral.